UACGAGAGGCCCAAACGUUGUUCGGAAUUACUGGGCUUAAAGAGUUCGUAGGCGGCGCAGAAAGUAGGGUGUGAAAGCCCUCGGCUCAACCGAGGAAUUGCGCUCUAAACUACUGUGCUUGAGGAAGCUAGAGGUGAGCGGAACUGAUGGUGGAGCGGUGAAAUGCGUUGAUAUCAUCAGGAACACCGGAGGCGAAGGCGGCUCACUGGGGCUUUUCUGACGCUGAGGAACGAAAGCCAGGGGAGCGAACGGG
This 253-nucleotide ribosomal RNA is filed under the name uncultured bacterium. RNAcentral describes it as "partial 16S ribosomal RNA". It matches the Rfam family "Bacterial small subunit ribosomal RNA", at positions 524 to 776 of the family's 1533-position model. The record is from RNAcentral.